CGGGGCGCCAGGUACAGCCGGCGGGACGUCCAGUGCCAGCGCAGGAGCCGGGCGAGGCCGUGGCCUCCAGGGUUCCUGGGCGGAGGACAAGGCGCGCAGCCGCGUUGGCGCGAGUUUUAAAUCGGUGCCUUCUCAGCUUUGCAAGUUCUUAUCAAUUGCUGCAUGCCAGAGGAAGUUUUUAAAAAAUGGCCCCCAGCUCUAUUGCGGUGUAAUUGAUGGAUAGAAAUUGUAUUUAUUUAAGGUGAACAGCUGGAUGAUGUGAUGGAGGCACGCAGGGUGGAGGGGUUACCACAGUCUAGGUACUCUACACAUCCAGAGCCUCCCACAGUUGACAAAUGGAUUUUCCUAAUCAGUUUCGUCGUGUUUUGUACUUAAGUUGAGGAUUCCACACCGUGUGGUACUUUCAGAAGAGAUGUAGUGGUGAAUCAAUCGCAACGGUUGUGAUGUUUUCCUAAUUAGGUAUUGAGAAUUACCAUUGGUAUUUGGAAUUAGAUUGCGGAGCAUUUAGGAACCGUUCUCGCUAUGUUGCCCAGGCUGGUCUUGAACUCCUCAGCUGAAAUGAGCCUCCCACCUCGGCCUCCCAAAGUGCUGGGAUUACAGGCGUCCCCUCUGCCCCAGUACUGUUUCCUCUCCCCAGCCCAGCCCCCACAGCUGCCUGCCCUGGCCUCACUCCCUGGCCUCCCCCAUCCCAGCCUCUGGGUCCCUGAGUCAGUCCCUGGGGCUGUCUGCCUUCUAGGGGAGCCUCUGGUGUGGACCAGAAAGUAACCUAAUCCCUUCCAGGCCCACCCUGGAAACAAAGGGAUUUGUCCACUAGCCUGGUGGUGAGAACCAUGUGGCCUCCUGUCUCUGGCAGAGAGGACUCCAGGAUCAAGGGCAGGUAAAAGGAGGAGCCUCCUGGGGAGCUUCAGAAGGAGGGUCCCAAGUCCCUCCUGCCCCACUUCUGUGCCUGGGUCACUCACACCCCUGCCUGACUCUAGCCCCCCUUCUCCAGGGGUCUCCACAACAUGUGAAUCAUGCCCAGCGUCUUCCAUUACACCCUUGAUAAAGUCCUCUCCUCACCAGGACCUCUGUCAUUUUACCUCAUGGUUUUGAAAUAAUUUUUGGUCUUCUUAGCAGUUUAAAAAUAUUGUUUUGUUUUUUUUCCUGAGUUUGGAGCAUUCCUGUUACUAAUUACAUUUUUUUUUUAGACAGGUGUACACUACUACACCCAGCUAAUUUGUUUUGUUUUGUUUUGUUUUGGUAGAGAUAGGAUCUUGCUAUGGUACCCAGGCUGGUCUUCAACUCCUGGGCUCAAGCAAUCCUCCUGCAUUGGCCUCCCAAAGUGCUGGAAUUACAGGCAUGAGGCAGCACGCCCAGCCCUAAUUACUUCUAUUACGCCAAAUUCCUUGUGUGGAAUUCCUGUGCUUUGCACACAAAUUGCCAGGUUGGCCCCAAAGGGGAAAAAAGUGGAUCCCAUUUUCCCAUCUUCUAUGCCUACGUGGCUGACAAAUCUCCCGAAUCCCACAGGAGCUGUCGCUGAUCUUUGUCCUCUAUUCGCUGAAAUAAAGUUCACCAUGGAAAAAAAAAAAAAAAA
This 1573-nucleotide long non-coding RNA is filed under the name Homo sapiens (human). RNAcentral describes it as "long independently transcribed non-coding RNA 605 (LINC00605)". Lineage: Eukaryota; Metazoa; Chordata; Mammalia; Primates; Hominidae. The record is from RNAcentral.